AGGAAAGUGASACAGAAACCAGCGAUGAGACGAAAAAAAGGGACGAGUUUCCCUCUCCAGUCCAGGCGGUUCAAGGGCACGGGAAGAAGAAUCCGUGUUUUACAACCGGGCGGUCGWCCUUGAAAUGCUGAUAAGAGCGACGCAGACGGAGAGGGGAAAUAAAACUGGACUUUUGAACCUACAAUAGUUGAUUCUUAAGAUAAAUGGCUUAAACCCUUUACAUGAAUAAAUACAUUUCAUCACUC
Molecule: long non-coding RNA, 245 nt
Organism: Austrofundulus limnaeus
Lineage: Eukaryota; Metazoa; Chordata; Actinopteri; Cyprinodontiformes; Rivulidae
Exons: 2
Source: RefSeq, a predicted model, not a curated record